This 4962-nucleotide long non-coding RNA is filed under the name Sus scrofa (pig). Its description in RNAcentral is "lncRNA (ENSSSCG00000054008.1)". The record is from RNAcentral. Lineage: Eukaryota; Metazoa; Chordata; Mammalia; Artiodactyla; Suidae.
AAGUUUCAGAGAUUAUUUUUGAGCAUAAAAUGUCAGUAUAGAAAUCAUUUCAGAUCUAUGUGACAUACACCUUAGCCAUUUAUUUCACUUCCAUCCAUCUUUGUCUUCGAUGUAUAGAAAUAUGUCCACAAAUAAUGGAAAAAUAAAUGUAAAUUCACCUAAAUGAGUGGAAAAACCCAUAACCAGUGUCAAGUGUCAAGUGAAUUAUAAGAACUGAAUGAGUAAUGACUGAGUAUAUAUAAUUCUGCUGAUUUUGUGGAUUUAUAGAUAUAUAUGCGACAUUUGUCCCACAAAGAAAGAGACAAGUGAACAGUUUUAAACACAUUAGGUAUAUCUUUGCAGAAUUUAUGAAAAACUUUUCUUAAAAUAGGUUACUUGGAUCAGUAUAUUUACACUUUACACAGCACACACCCCAAAAAGACCAAUUCAACAUGGUAAUGACAAUUCCCAAUCUACUCAUAGUAAAGCUUCUCUUUUGAAAAACCAAAGCAAAAACAAAACCCUAAAUGCAUACUGUAUCUCAUCAAAUAAAAAUAUACAUAAAACAUAGAUACACAGAAUAAAUAAAAAGCUUAAGGAGGAAAUGAUUUCUUAUAUGAAUUUUUAAAACCCUUAAAUUUAUAUUCAUUGGAAUAUCUAAGACCAACCAUCAAAAGUUGAAAAUGUACUUUUUAUAUUAAAUCAGCGGAAAAAAUUUUAAAUUAUUGGUCAAAAAUAAUUAUGCAUUCAAGACAUAAUUAAAUGGAGUUUGCUAAUGAAAUUUUGCUAUUUGGAAAGAUUUCAAAUACACUAGUUUGUAGAUAGGUGACUAAGCAUAACCUCUUUACAGUUCAGCUUGUUUUAUAUAAAGUUGUACAAAAUGAAUAAUUAAAAUGUACCUUAUAUAGUUGUUCUUAGCCGUCAGUGUAAUAGUUCAGGUAGAAAAGUUCUGGAUCAUGGUAAGAUCUCUGCACUUACCUAUUUUGAUCACCGUUAUUAUUUCUGGAAAAAAAUAAAAGCAACACUUAAAAUGAUAAUAGGUUUUUUAAUAUUUAAAUUAAUAAAAGGAAAUAAUUUAUGACAUAAGAGUAUUUUAAAACUGUAAAACUCUAAAUCAUAAAAUUCUUUAUGACUUGGAGUGGGUAAAGAUUCUUAAAUAGAAAUUAUCUCAUAAGAGUUCUCCUCAUGGCUCAGCAGUAACAUACCUGACUACCAUCCAUGAGGACAUGGAUUUGAUCCUGGACUAGUUCAGUGGGUUAAGGAUCUGGUGUUGCCAGGAGCUAUACUGUAGGUCGCAGAGGUGGCUCAGAUGCCUCAUUGCUGUGGUUGUGGUAUAGGCCAACAGCUCUGAUUCAACCCCUAGCCUGGGAACUUCCAUAUGCUGUGGUUGUGGCCCUAAAAGAAAAAAAAAAAAAAAAAAAAAAAAUAGAAAGCAAAAGCACAGAAUAUAAAAGAAAACUUUGAUAAAUUUACCUUCAUCAAAAUUGAAAAUGUUUACUCUUCACAGGUCGGAAAUUAAAUGAAAAAGCAAGUCACAAACUGGGAGAAAAUACUCACAUGUAUAUCUGACAAAAGACUUGUGUUGAGAACACUUACAAAUCAAUAAUAAAAAGAUAAAUCAACUCCACAGGUGAAACAGACAAAAGAAUUAACAGACAAUUCAUAAAAGAAUUUUAAGGAUGGUAAAUAAGCACAUUAAAAGAUACUUAACAUUAUAAUUAACACCAUUUUAUUAAAGAAAUGCAAAUUAAAAGCAUGAUAAAACACCUGUACAAGCCCUUUAUAUUGACUAAAAUUUAAAAAACAAACUAUCCCAAAGAAAGUGUUAUUAAAGAUGUAGAGGAAAUUAAAAUAUCAUAUACUGCUGGUGGACAUGUAAAAUGAUACAAUAAAUUUGGAAAAAUGUUUGACACUUUUGUUGAAAAAAGAAACUAGACCUACCAUAAGAUCUACCAGAAACAGACACAUUAGUGAUACCAAGUGGGAAAAAAGGUAUAAAAUAUAAAUAAAUAAAUAAAUAUAUACUGUAAGAGUGUCUCAAAUAAUGCUAUAUUUUCUUUCUUGUACUCUCUGUAUUGUUCUAGAAACAUACAAUUUUGUCAACUUAAGAAAGAGCUACUCUUUGCUAAGAAUCUAGAAAUGAUCAAUUUAUAUAAUUUAAUCAUGAGUUCUCAUGCUUUGUUCAGAGUGAUUUUGCAGGUCUGUUGCCAGGAGCAUUGAAAUUUUUAUUCCAUUAUUUUUAUACCUUUAUAACAAAAUCUAAUGGAGCUCUUUAGCUCAGGACUGUAUCAGCCACAAAACAAUUGAGAAGACUGAAUCUGAAACUCAGAAUAAAAUAAAAAUAUAAUUUUUACAGACAUUUAACUUAGUUAUGAAUUUCUGAGAUACAUUGUUGAUUUCUUAAUAAGAAAGAAUUUGUAAAGUUCUUUAACAAGUGAAUGUAGCCAUGCUUCAAUCAGAUUCUUAGCUUUAUUCAUCACCUUAUUUCUUUAUUAUCCCAUGAUUGUCUUCUGUGCAUUAGAGAAAAAUACAAAACAAACAAGCAAGAAAAACCCACAAAACCUUUUCUCAGGGCUGGUAUCCCAACCACUAAGCAGAUUCAGUUUCUGCAUUGAGUCAACAAAUGUGGUUUUAAACAAUGUACUAUCUUAUGUUAAUUUACUAUAUAAUUUUAUAAAAAAUCUGAAGAUAGGUGGCUCCAAUUGGUUGAUUUAGAGGUAUGUACACUGGUGACCUUACAAAUUCCCUCAUCUCAGUAUCUUUGUAUUGCUCUUGCUAUUCUAAACACACAGGUACAAUGUAGAUGCAACCACAGCAAGCAAAAUUUUCUCCAAUUCUUUUUGUCAAAGAUGAGAUGAGCAAUUUUUUCAUAGUAUGUUUAUCUUGUAUUAGAAUAAAAACUUUCUCUUAAAUUGUUUCAUCAGAUAUCACAGUACAUCUCAUUGAUCAGAAUUUAAUGACAUCCCUAUGUAAACCAAUCAUGGAAAAGGAGAAAUAAGAUUAUGUACUAUGACUAAAUUGUCAGAGUUGUUAUUUAUUUUGGGCCCAACUUCCCAGAGCAUUGUGAGAUCUGUUUCCAAAAUGAAGGUAUCACGAGUAAAUCAGAGAGGAAGAGGGCUCUUAAAUAGACAGCUAAUAAACAGCUCUACAUUAAGCAAAAUGGGGAGGAUAAGAAAAGUGUAAAAUCACAUUUUGUCAGGAAUGAGCAGUUUGACUGUUAAGCAAUUUUGCAUGCAUAAUUGCAAAUAUACAUUGAAAAGAAAUCUGAAUUAGAGUCACUUUUCAAAUUAUCCAAUUUUUUAACUCUAAGAGUUUUACAAAAUAUCUAUGCUUAUGGACUUAGAGUAUCAUAGUUUGUAGCUGUUUCAAAUAUUCUAAAAGACCCAGAAUUUCUCAUCUAAUAUUCUCCGGAUAGGCUAAAAAAGUGACUCUUCAAUUAACUAGUAAUGGACAUGAUCACAAAGACAUAGCUUCUUCCAUACCUCCCUCUUUUACACUUAGUAUCAGCUUUUGUGGAAAUGCAUUUGUCUUUUGAUUUCUGAAAAUUUUGAGAAACUAUGAUUCAUAAACUGAAAAAUGCAGAAAUUCUUACGAUACAUCACGAAAGACAUUAAAGAACAUCCUAGGCUUCCUAUACUUUGUUUUCUUCCUAUACAUUUACAAUGUAAAAGGAUCAGUUUUAUGUGAAUGGAAUAGUCUCAACUUUACUAUUUUAUACUUUCCUAGCAACAGUUUAUAACGUUCAUUUUUAUUCAUACAAAGAAAUUAAUGUAGCGUGGAAAUGAACGAAAUUUCCUUUGGCUUACUAAAAUAAUGAUAAGGAUCACCUGAACCACUACUAAGUAUUUUUUAGAGAGACGAUUAGAGUGAAAACAUAGAUAUUCUAUAGAUGCCAAUAUUUAAAAUAACCAUAAUUUCAUAAUAACCAAUAUUAUAAAAAAUGUGUAGGUUUUGGUAUAGAAGCAAUAUAAAAUCAUCAAAUAAUUUAAGGAUAUAAUAUUUAGAAUCUGGAUAUUCAUAUUUAUUUAUAAUGAAAUUAACUAGAGGCCAAUUCCCUACUGGACCAGAAACUAGAAGCACUGAGAGGAAACUCAGUGGAAACUAAAUUUAGGUUGUGAAAAAGUUUUCAAAUCUUGUUUACCUUGAGGCACAGGGGACAUAAAUUUAAGGACUGACAAUAUAAGGUGGUCACAAUGGCCACUUUUAUAAUGGAGAUCACUGAAUAUUUCCUGGCACUCUAAGAGACAAUGUACUUUAAUGUAGAUUAUAUCGAUUUACCCUAAGAUAACUGUUUCCUCUUACCUUGCAAUAACUUGGAGUAAAUCAAUGCAAUCUGCAUUUCAAUACUUUGUUUUACUGACUUCUUAAUACAGAUGGCUUGAAAAAUUUGAUUAGAGGACAAUAUGCCCACACCUGCUAAUAACUGAGCAGCAUCCAGGUAGGAAACUGGAAAGCAAAUAAAUCACUUUAUUUUUAAAUCCACCAAAGCAAUUAGUGCUUCUCUAUUCUAGAAAUGUUACUGACAAUGAUGUGACCUUGCUAACUUUGUCAUAAUGUCUAAAAAGCCCUGCCUAAAAGCAUUCAUCUCUCACUGUUAAGGUUAUACAUCAUAUGAUUACAUUAAAAUAUAAACAGUGAAAAUACUUCCAGUAAAUGUAGGAGAAUUUUAUUACGUCUCUCUUUCACAUUUAAAAAUUGUUUUUAGUGAUCACAAUAUUUCCAUGACUACAGGUAUUAUUAUUUAAAAGUUAGUGGACGUUCCUGUCAUGGUGCAGUAGAAACGAAUCCAACUAGGAACCAUGAGGUUGUGGGUUCGAUCCCUGGCCUCACUCAGUGAGUUAAGGAUCCGGCGCUGCCGUGAGCUAUAGUGUAGGUCUCAGACACAGCUCAGAUCUGGCAUUGCUGUGGCUGUGGUGUGGGCUGGCAGCUACAGCUCUGAUUCGACUCCUAGCCUGGGAACCUCCAUAUGCCAUGGGUGCGGCC